This is a non-coding RNA of Podarcis lilfordi (Lilford's wall lizard), 75 nucleotides long. Lineage: Eukaryota; Metazoa; Chordata; Lepidosauria; Squamata; Lacertidae. The record is from the annotation of a GenBank genome assembly.
GGUUGGAGUAGCUCAGUUGGUAGAACAUGAGACUCUUAAUCUCAGUGUCCUGGGUUCAAGAUUCCUGCAUUGUCG